Neogale vison (American mink) is the source of this 1038-nucleotide long non-coding RNA. RefSeq lists it as uncharacterized. The record is from RefSeq and is a predicted model, not a curated record. The transcript has 2 exons. Lineage: Eukaryota; Metazoa; Chordata; Mammalia; Carnivora; Mustelidae.
AUGCUGGGAUCAUGACCUGAGUCGAAGGCAGAUGCUUAAUGACUGAGCCACCGAGACACCCCUGCCUUUUCUUUCCUAAACCUUCUCCUUGCCCAGCCUUAUAACUCCCUCCCCACCCCCACCCUGCAACCUGUGAGGUCCCUAAGGACCUCACAGGUUGCAUGAUAUGGGUCAUUCGCCACCCUUCUCCUAGCACUGGGCACACAGCUAGCACUGAAUAAAUAUUUGUCCCACACUCCCUGAGGUCCUUUUCUCAACCUUCCCACACACAUUCUUUGGCCCAUAGCCCAAACCCCACCUCCAAGGUCACCUAGGACCUCGGAGUAGCCACAUCAAGGAUGCACUGGAAUCUUACUGGCCUGCCCUUCCCUUCUCACCCUCCCUCCCUUCGGACACCUGACUGUCCCAGGGAGCCUGCAGCCUUGCUCUGGCCUGACUCCAUUUCUCCUAAAUGUUGGGGUUCCUGGGUCUGCUUCUCCCUGAGAUCUGCCAGGGGAGCCCCUGCUUUGCUGGUUUCCCAUCAGUGUAUGCUAAGUCUCCCUUAGAACCACCUUCUGGAGCUCCCCUGCCACCUUUGGUUCCCUCCAUCUCUGAAGUCUCCAGGGCAAAACUCACUCCGUUGUCUCCUCCUAGAAUCUGCCUUUCUUCCUGAUUUCCAGCCUCAGACCUGGGGUCCACUCACAUCCAGCUUCUCAAGGCAGAGAGGAAAUAUUCCCAGAUUUGGGGGGGUGAAUGGACAUCAGACACCUUAGGAGACAAGAAUGGACGCCUGCAAUUUACUGUCAAACCAAGAGGCAGAAAAAUAAAGCAAACAGAGUAAAAUAUGAGCAACGAGGACUCUGGGUAUACAGGCGUUCUCCGUACUAUUCUGACAAGAUUUUAUGAGUCUUAAACUAUGUCAAUAACUAUAAGUAAACAUUUAAAUCCAUUGGUAGUAUUUGUGAAGUUCCUACUGAUGAAAUUAUAGGAUGUCUCGGUAGGAGGUGGCAGGAGGCAAUGGAUAAAACAAUUAAUAAAACGCUUCUAAUUGCUGAGCUA